AAUAUCUCUUCCAUAUUCCUUGCCUUCCAUCACUUUCCAGCUGUUUGAGAAUUUGGGUUUUUGGAUCCAAACCCUUCUUUUAUCUCUCUAAAUCUUGAAGUCCAUUUGUCUGUCUAAUCUUUCAUCCAGAUCAGUCACAAAUUCUUAAAAAUUGACAUUUGGAGAACUGUAAAUGGACCAAAAUCCUGUUGUUCAUAUACCAGAGUGAUCUCUUUUCAGGCAUAGAAAUUGAAGCUUUUGAGAGCUAAAAAAGGAGAUAAAUUUGGGUGUUUCAAGUGAUGAAAGGAAGCCAUCUGGAUUUUUCCUAUUAAAAGAAGAAGUGAGGAUUCAUUUAGCGACCUCAACUUGUUUGGGAUUGAGUCAUAGUUUUUGUUAUAAAGAUUGAAGCUUUGGUGAGCUAAAAGGAGGAGAUAAUUUUGGGUAUUGGUUCAAAUAAUCAAUAGGGUCAUAUAGUUUCUUCCUCUUAUGUAGUAUAAUCAAGAAGUAGCAUUCAUAUACCCGACCUCAACUUGUUCGUAACUGAGACGUAGUUGUUCUUGUUGUUGUACAAAGAUUGAAGCUUUGGUGUGUUAAAAAAGGAGAUAAUUUUGGGUGUUUCAAAGAGAUCAAAUGGGGUCAUCUGGUUUUUUCCUCUUGUGUAUACUUCAUUCUAUGGUGGCCUUAACUUCUGGAGCUUUGAUGAUGUUUUAUAGCAAUGAGGUAUUUAUAUUUAGCCAUGGAAGAGAGCGCGCGAGUAAGCUUUUUGGAUCGACACCCCAUGACCAAUUGAUAAUCCAAACAUCAGAUUCAUUCUCUGGUCUGCUUUUAUUUGCCAUUGGUUUUUUCUUGUUCAUGGUGGCAUUUGUAAAAGACAGAGAGUUUCACAAUUUCUUUGCUAAGGGAUGUGUCCUCCUUCAUAUAGCUAUGGCUGUUUGGAGAAUUUACUUUGAGAGGAAGCUUGAGGAGGAUCUCGGACACGAUUGGCUAAGAUUGGUUGUUGCUGACAUUGCUUUAGGACUUUCUUGGGUUUUCUUUCUUGUGUAUUCUUGGAGAGAGAAAUAUGAUUAGUCCUCGUUCCUUCGAGGGACGAUACAAAGAAGAUUAGCAUGAUCCUUGUUCAAGGAUGACACAAACAAAUCAGAGAAAAGUGUGAUUAGUCUAUGUUGCCUUACUUCCUUUGUUUCAUAUAUGGAUCUUGUCAUUGUCGCUGACAUUGUUUUAGGACUUUCCUGGGUUUUCUUUCUUGUGCAUUCUUGAAGAGAGAAGUAUGAUUAGUCGAUGUUGAAAUUUGAACGAUACAGAGAAGAUCAGCAUGGUCAUUGCUUGAGGAUGACAUGAACAAAUCAAGAAACAUAUCAUUAGUCUUUGUGUUGCAAUUUUCCUGCCUUGAAGGGACACACAUUUGAGUCCACUAUCCAUAUUUAGAUGUUUAGAUAAAAAAAAAACUGUCUUUGUUCAAGUAUCAAUCAACUACAUCGCAAUUCCGAACUAGUUGGAUUUGGCUAAAGAAUCUGAAAGUUUGCAGACUGAAAUCUGGUUGUUAUUACUUGAGUUAUGGGUAAAGCUACUUUGCAAGAAGUUUGGUUUUGAAACACAACCAGAUUGUGCUUCUUUGCUUCUAUCUUGGAUAGUACUUUCUUCCUUUUCUUUUUUGUGGACAAUUCUUGUAAAGUGCUUCAUUUACUUAUGUAAGUUUCUGUUGAUAGAAUGAGAUGUGUUUGUGAUCUCCAA
RNAcentral lists this unclassified non-coding RNA (1710 nucleotides) under Hevea brasiliensis (rubber tree). The record is from RNAcentral. Lineage: Eukaryota; Viridiplantae; Streptophyta; Magnoliopsida; Malpighiales; Euphorbiaceae.